AGAGUUUGAUUCUGGCUCAGAACGAACGUUAGCGGCGCGCCUAACACAUGCAAGUCGCACGAGAAAGGGCUUCGGCCCCGGUACAGUGGCGCACGGGUGAGUAACACGUAGAUAAUCUUCCCUCGGGUGGUGGAUAACUCUCCGAAAGGAGAGCUAAUACAGCAUGAGACCACGGCUCCCCUGGAGCUGCGGCCAAAGCAGGCCUCUAUACAUAAGCUUGCGCCUGAGGAUGAGUCUGCGGCCCAUCAGCUAGUUGGUAGGGUAAUGGCCUACCAAGGCUAAGAGGGGUAGCUGGUCUGAGAGGAUGAACAGCCACACUGGAACUGAGACACGGUCCAGACUCCUACGGGAGGCAGCAGUGGGAAUCUUGCGCAAUGGGCGAAAGCCUGACGCAGCGACGCCGCGUGAGCGAUGAAGGCCUUCGGGUUGUAAAGCUCUGUGGGGAGGAAAGAAUAAGGGUUGGCUAAUAUCCAGCUCGAUGACGGUACCUCCUUAGCAAGCACCGGCUAACUCUGUGCCAGCAGCCGCGGUAAGACAGAGGGUGCAAACGUUGUUCGGAAUUACUGGGCGUAAAGCGCGUGUAGGCGGCUCUGUAAGUCGGAUGUGAAAUCCCACGGCUCAACCAUGGAAGUGCAUUCGAAACUACAGGGCUAGAGUUCUGGAGAGGAAGGUGGAAUGCUUGGUGUAGAGGUGAAAUUCGUAGAUAUCAAGCGGAACACCGGUGGCGAAGGCGGCCUUCUGGACAGUAACUGACGCUGAGACGCGAAAGCGUGGGGAGCAAACAGGAUUAGAUACCCUGGUAGUCCACGCCGUAAACGAUGAGUGCUAGGUGUCACGGGCUUUGACCCUCGUGGUGCCGAAGCUAACGCGUUAAGCACUCCGCCUGGGGAGUACGGUCGCAAGACUAAAACUCAAAGAAAUUGACGGGGGCCCGCACAAGCGGUGGAGCAUGUUGUUUAAUUCGACGCAACGCGAAGAACCUUACCUGGGCUAGAAAGUACAGGAAGUCGGUCGAAAGGUCGAUGUGCCCUUCGGGGAACCUGUGGUUAGGUGCUGCAUGGCUGUCGUCAGCUCGUGUCGUGAGAUGUUGGGUUAAGUCCCGCAACGAGCGCAACCCCUGUUGUUAGUUGCCAGCAUUAAGUUGGGCACUCUAACAAGACUGCCGACCUUUAAGUCGGAGGAUGUGGGGAUGACGUCAAGUCAUC
Molecule: ribosomal RNA, 1205 nt
Filed under: metagenome
Description: bacterial SSU rRNA
Rfam family: Bacterial small subunit ribosomal RNA
Source: RNAcentral